GGCAGUGUAGUAUAAUGGUUAAGGAGCUGGUCUUGUAACCUAAAGGUCACAGGUUCAAUUCCCAAGGACACUGCCG
This 76-nucleotide transfer RNA is filed under the name Anguilla anguilla (European eel). RNAcentral describes it as "tRNA-OTHER". The record is from RNAcentral. Lineage: Eukaryota; Metazoa; Chordata; Actinopteri; Anguilliformes; Anguillidae.